RNAcentral lists this ribosomal RNA (465 nucleotides) under Vreelandella stevensii. Its description in RNAcentral is "partial 16S ribosomal RNA". It matches the Rfam family "Bacterial small subunit ribosomal RNA", at positions 338 to 795 of the family's 1533-position model. The record is from RNAcentral. Lineage: Bacteria; Pseudomonadati; Pseudomonadota; Gammaproteobacteria; Oceanospirillales; Halomonadaceae.
CCUACGGGGGGCAGCAGUGGGAAAUAUUGGACAAUGGGGGGAACCCUGAUCCAGCCAUGCCGCGUGUGUGAAGAAGGCCCUCGGGUUGUAAAGCACUUUCAGUGAGGAAGAACGCCUGGUGGUUAAUACCCAUCAGGAAAGACAUCACUCACAGAAGAAGCACCGGCUAACUCCGUGCCAGCAGCCGCGGUAAUACGGAGGGUGCGAGCGUUAAUCGGAAUUACUGGGCGUAAAGCGCGCGUAGGUGGCUUGAUAAGCCGGUUGUGAAAGCCCCGGGCUCAACCUGGGAACGGCAUCCGGAACUGUCAAGCUAGAGUGCAGGAGAGGAAGGUAGAAUUCCCGGUGUAGCGGUGAAAUGCGUAGAGAUCGGGAGGAAUACCAGUGGCGAAGGCGGCCUUCUGGACUGACACUGACACUGAGGUGCGAAAGCGUGGGUAGCAAACAGGAUUAGAUACCCUGGUAGUC